Molecule: ribosomal RNA, 119 nt
Organism: Scophthalmus maximus (turbot)
Lineage: Eukaryota; Metazoa; Chordata; Actinopteri; Pleuronectiformes; Scophthalmidae
Source: Ensembl
GUUUAAGGCAACACAGCCUGGUUCACGCCCGAUCUCGUUUGAUCUCGGAAGCUAAGAUAGGUUGGGCCUGGUUAGUACUUGGAUGGGAGACCGCCUAGGAAUACCAGGUGCUGUAAGCC